AGGUUUGGGCCAUUGCAGAUUCUAAGCGUCCAAGAUUUUUAGGCUUUAACGAGUUCAUCACUGCUAUGCAGUUGCUCUCUCUGGCACAAGCUGGAUAUGACAUAACUGCAGAUUUACUUAGAACUACAGAUGAUGUUGAGCUUUUGGAACCUCCAGUGAUGGAAGGUUUGGAUUUGCUUUUGGCGAAGUAUAAUGGUUCAAGAAACAAUGGUGUCCCUGAAACAAACGUU
Molecule: long non-coding RNA, 230 nt
Organism: Helianthus annuus (common sunflower)
Lineage: Eukaryota; Viridiplantae; Streptophyta; Magnoliopsida; Asterales; Asteraceae
Exons: 5
Source: RefSeq, a predicted model, not a curated record